CGUCCAGACUCCUACGGGAGGCAGCAGUGGGGAAUAUUGCACAAUGGGGGAAACCCUGACGCAGCAACGCCGCGUGCGGGAUGACGGCCUUCGGGUUGUAAACCGCUUUCAGUAGGGACGAAUUUUGACGGUACCUACAGAAGAAGCCCCGGCUAACUACGUGCCAGCAGCCGCGGUAAUACGUAGGGAGCAAGCGUUGUCCGGAAUUACUGGGCGUAAAGGGCGCGUAGGUGGGCGCUUAAGUCAGGUGUGAAAACUCCGGGCUCAACCUGGAGACUGCACUUGAAACUGGGUGUCUUGAGGGCAGGAGAGGAAAGUGGAAUUCCUAGUGUAGCGGUGAAAUGCGUAGAUAUUAGGAGGAACACCAGUGGCGAAGGCGACUUUCUGGACUGUACCUGACGCUGAGGCGCGAAAGCGUGGGUAGCGAACGGGAUUAGAUACCCUCGUA
RNAcentral lists this ribosomal RNA (448 nucleotides) under uncultured bacterium. RNAcentral's name for it is "bacterial SSU rRNA". It matches the Rfam family "Bacterial small subunit ribosomal RNA", at positions 328 to 792 of the family's 1533-position model. The record is from RNAcentral.